GAUGAACGCUGGCGGCGUGCCUAAUACAUGCAAGUCGAGCGAACAGACGAGGAGCUUGCUCCUCUGACGUUAGCGGCGGACGGGUGAGUAACACGUGGAUAACCUACCUAUAAGACUGGGAUAACUUCGGGAAACCGGAGCUAAUACCGGAUAAUAUAUUGAACCGCAUGUUUCAAUAGUGAAAGACGGUUUUGCUGUCACUUAUAGAUGGAUCCGCUCCGCAUUAGCUAGUUGGUAAGGUAACGGCUUACCAAGGCGACGAUGCGUAGCCGACCUGAGAGGGUGAUCGGACACACUGGAACUGAGACACGGUCCAGACUCCUACGGGAGGCAGAAGUAGGGAAUCUUCCGCAAUGGGCGAAAGCCUGACGGAGAAACGCCGCGUGAGUGAUGAAGGUCUUCGGAUCGUAAAACUCUGUUAUUAGGGAAGAACAAAUGUGUAAGUAACUAUGCACGUCUUGACGGUACCUAAUCAGAAAGCCACGGCUAACUACGUG
Molecule: ribosomal RNA, 497 nt
Filed under: uncultured bacterium
Lineage: Bacteria
Description: partial 16S ribosomal RNA
Rfam family: Bacterial small subunit ribosomal RNA
Source: RNAcentral